AUGCGAUUGAUGCUUGUACGUUCACUGCAUUUCCCCCUUCCUCUCCAUCCGCUCUUGCCUGCCCGUCGUCUCCUUCAUGUCCCAGCCUCUACAUUUUCCCCUUCCUCUCCAUCUGCUCUUGCCUGCCUGUUGUCUCCUUCAUGUCCCAGCCUCUACAUUUUCCCCCUCCUCUCCAUCCGCUCUUGCCUGCCUGUCAUCUCCUUCAUGUCCCAGCCUCUACAUUUUCCCCUUCCUCUCCAUCUGCUCUUGCUUGCCUGUCGUCUCCUUCAUGUCCCAGCCUCUACCAUGUCAUCCUUGCCGACGAGCUCGGCCUCUGUGGCAGCAGCCCCAUGGCCGCCGGUAUGUGGAAUGAGAAUGUCCAGUUGUUCUUCAACACUAACAGAGGUCCCCUGUUCUUUUCCUAUAGAUGAAUGUUUCAUUCAUUGA
This 426-nucleotide ribosomal RNA is filed under the name Triticum aestivum (bread wheat). RNAcentral's name for it is "partial small subunit ribosomal RNA". The record is from RNAcentral. Lineage: Eukaryota; Viridiplantae; Streptophyta; Magnoliopsida; Poales; Poaceae.